RNAcentral lists this long non-coding RNA (3086 nucleotides) under Homo sapiens (human). RNAcentral describes it as "HSALNT0158105". The record is from RNAcentral. Lineage: Eukaryota; Metazoa; Chordata; Mammalia; Primates; Hominidae.
GAAAUUGAGGGCGGUGACAAUCAGGGACUCUAAAUAGGUUGUCAUUAGCUCAGGUCAGUUACUGUGGCUAAACACAUUACGGACAAUCUUUUUUUCUUUUUUUUCCUAUUUGUUUUUACUGCAUUUUGGAUUUCAGAAUGGUGGAUAAAGAUUGCGAAUUUGCACAGCUAUAAAGCUUACUAAUUAAAGACUACAAACACAAAGAGAGCAAGCCUUGUGAUGACUGCACAAUAACGAGGAUUCAGAUACAACGUGGUCGCCACCUGACGCCCACCUCCACAAAAAGCCAUUCUCAAAAGGAGAGAGACAUUCAUAUCCAGAAGAGGGAGUCGGCUGUAGGGUAGAGAUGUUCGUCUGAAGAUUUCAAAGCCCACUGCUGAUUUAAGGUCAUUCACAUUCAGCCAUGAAGCUGCUCUGAAGACACAGGAACUGCAUAGCUCCCUACUGGGAAUGUCAAGGGCUGUGAAAGGUCUAAGGUUUUAUCCUACUUGCAACCAACAAGCUAUGCAGCCACAGUUUUAUGGAUGCUGUCAAAAGACAUGACACUCCUGGCAUGCAGUUUAGGCUGCUAACAACAGCAUGAGGGCAACCUGCUGUGGUGACCUAAGCUAUGACACCCCACCCCAAGUCCGGGAUGCAGCUAACUGAGCAAACUGCAUGAACUGGGAGGCGGCCGACCAUUGUUCACGCCUCUCCUUCGCCACUUCAAAUGCAUCAAAGGUCCAGAGAGAAGCUUCUUCUGGUCACCUUGAUCUUGUGAUGCAAGGCAGGUGGGAGCAAGGGCUCCACCUCUGCAGACACAGAGAUGACGGGGUCGCCAUGCCGGCGUUUUAGUCCCGGUUUCCUCUGCUCGAGUAGUUGGUGGCCUCCUGCCUGUUCCCUAACAUAACUUCACUUUCCUUACCUGCAAAACGAAAUUAGUAUUUCCUCCCUCACAAGGUGCUUGAUGCCCUUCCCCUUGCGUUUACUUUGCCUGAGAGACUAUAUCAUAUCUAUGAUUUUGUGAAUGGGGCAAAAGGAAUUGAGAGUGUCAGGGUAUACCUUAUAAAUAAGCCACUAAAGGUUACAUCCUCAUUCCACAAACUGACCUAAACAAUUUGGCUGUCACUAAUAGAUUAUUUUGGUCAGUUAUGGCAUUUAGAGGGAGAAGAGAGAGUAUAUAUAUAUGGGUGGGGUGUGUGUGUAUGCGUGUGUAUGUGUGUGUUUACAGUCAAAAUACCAAAAUAUAUCUAUGUAUAUAAAUAUAUUUGCUUUCUUUGUUUUUGUUACAAUAAACUUGUACAUACAAUUCUGACACACAUAUUUUCAUAUGUAGGCACAAAAAUAGUCAUACAAAAAAUACCACAAAAGGUAAUAACAAAGUGGAAGAAGACAUAGGAACAGAGAACAAACCAACACAUAGAAAAAGUAACAAACAUGGUAGAUACGAAUCCAGCUAUAUCAAUAAUCGCGUUAAACAUCAAUGGUCUUAAAUAUACUAGACAGUGGAAUAUUAUUCAGCAUUGAAAAGAAAUGACCUAUCAAGCCAUGAAAGACAAGGAGGAACCUUAAAUGCAUGUUACUGAGUGAAAGAAGCCAAUCUGAAAAGGCUGCAUCCUGCAGGAUUCUGACUCUAUGACAUUCUGGAAAAGGUAAAACUACUAAGACAGUGAAAAGAUCAGUAGCUGCCAGGGGUUACGGGAAGGGGAUGAUGAAUAAGUGGGGCACAGCAUUUUGAGGAGGUGAAACUACUCUGUAGGAUACUGUAACAGUAAAUCCAUGUCAUUAUAUGUUUGUACACACCCAUAGAACACCAGGAGGACAGCACCAAGAGGGAGCCCUAGUGUGAACUGUGGACUCUGGUUGGUAAUGAUGUGCCUGUGAAGCUUCAUUGUUUGCAGCAAAUGCAUCAGUGUGGUGGGGGAUGUUUCUAAAUUGAUAAUGAAGGACGCCAUAGGUGUAUGGGGGCAGAGAGUUUAUGAGAAAUCUGUACCUUUUGCUCAAUUUUACUGAACAUAAAACUGCUGAAGCCAUCAUUCUCAGCAAACUAACCCAGGAGCAGAAAACCAAACGCCGCAUGUUCUCACUCAUAAGUGGGAGUUGAACAAUGAGAACACAUGGACACAGGGAGGGGAACAUCGUCACACACCGGAGCCUGUCGCAGGGUGGGGAGCUGGGGGAGGGAGAGCAUUAAGACAAAUACCUAAUGCAUGUGGGGCUUAAAACCUAGAUGAUAGGUUGAUAGGUGCAGCAAACCACCAUGGCACAUGUAUACCUAUGUAACAAACCUGCACAUUCUGCACAUGUAUCCCAGAACUUAAAGUAAAAUAUAUUAAAAAAAUUAAAGUCUAUUUUAAAAAAAGAAAAACAAUCAGCUAACCUACUUUGGUAGCUCUGUUCUGCGCUGUCGGGUCUUCCAUCCUAGCGUGUGACACAGGAGGGUUUCGCUGGCAGGACCCGCCCACUGCACAUGCAGGUUCAGGUGACAGAGACCUCUGGAAAGAUGAGGCCCGUGGGAGCAGGGGGCUUCUUGUUGACACUGAAGGUCAGGCUUCAGGAAUGCCAGGGGCUCAUAAAAUCUUUUUCACUGAACAUUAUGCUGAGCAGGAUUCAUUUUACCAGUGAAAAAAUAUUUCUGACAUCCUUUGUGCUUUUUAACAAAGCCUGUGGUGUGGAUUUGCAUGAUUCUUAGAUUGCUGAGUAACCACUUCGGGAGGGUUCUUGAUUAGGGCACUAAAAAUGUUAACACAACACCCGUGGGAUGUAGAUUAAGGUCAACUUGUCCUUGUGCGUCUCUCCUAGUGUUGAUGGCAGAGUCUUAGUAUUUCAGCUGACGAAAUCUCUGCCCAUUCUCUUCCAAUGUUCCCUAAUAAGCUACAGGAGGACAGAGACAAAAGUUUGACUUCAUUAGUAACUUUUGGAAGUUGCCCAAUUUAGGAAAAAGAGUUAAUAAAUCAGGAAUUUUAUAAGAACUUUUUGUUAAAUCUGUAGUUAUUCAAAUCAGCCUCAGCAUGAUAAGACAACACUACAGGUUAUUAUAAAUAGUUGAAAAAGAAAAAUUAAAUUCCAACCAAACAAUUGAUCCUUAACUUUUUUUUUUUUUGAGA